Molecule: unclassified non-coding RNA, 317 nt
Filed under: uncultured fungus
Lineage: Eukaryota; Fungi
Description: sequence contains ITS1
Rfam family: 5.8S ribosomal RNA (bases 1-104)
Source: RNAcentral
GAAUUGCGAAAAGUAUUGUGAUUUGCAACAUUCGUGAAUCAUUGAAUUCUUGAACGCACAUUGCACCAUGUGGGCAACUGCAUGGUCUGCGUGUCUGAGUAUUGAUUGUCUAUUCUCACCCAUGUACAGUGGGUGGAUGAUGGAUGCUGCACAGUCGUGUGCUGUGGCAUCUGCAAUGCACACAGUGAGCCUGCUGUGCUACCAAUCAUGUGGAAUCAUAUUCUGAUGUGCUUGAUUGGCAGCUGGGUCUCAUUGCUGAGUCAAUCACACUUUACGGUAACAAUCUCAGAUCAGGCAGGAUUACCCGCUUAACUUAA